AGAAACGAAACAGUGAUGUGGAGUAAAACUUAGAAAAACGGUACUCAGUUCGGAUUGAAGGCUGAAAUUCGCCUUCAUGAAGCUGGAAUUGCUAGUAAUGGCAGGUCAGCAUACUGCCGUGAAUACGUUCCCGGGCCUUGUACACACCGCCCGUCACACCAUGAGAGUUGGAAAUACCCGAAGCCUGUGAGCUAACUUUUAGAGGCAGCAGUCGAAGGUAGAGCCAAUGAUUGGGGUGAAGUCGUAACAAGGUACC
RNAcentral lists this ribosomal RNA (256 nucleotides) under uncultured bacterium. Its description in RNAcentral is "partial 16S ribosomal RNA". It matches the Rfam family "Bacterial small subunit ribosomal RNA", at positions 1245 to 1500 of the family's 1533-position model. The record is from RNAcentral.